Molecule: ribosomal RNA, 497 nt
Filed under: uncultured bacterium
Lineage: Bacteria
Description: partial 16S ribosomal RNA
Rfam family: Bacterial small subunit ribosomal RNA
Source: RNAcentral
GAUGGACGCUGGCGGCGUGCCUAAUACAUGCAAGUCGAGCGAACGGACGAGAAGCUUGCUUCUCUGAUGUUAGCGGCGGACGGGUGAGUAACACGUGGAUAACCUACCUAUAAGACUGGGAUAACUUCGGGAAACCGGAGCUAAUACCGGAUAAUAUUUUGAACCGCAUGGUUCAAAAGUGAAAGACGGUCUUGCUGUCACUUAUAGAUGGAUCCGCGCUGCAUUAGCUAGUUGGUACGGUAACGGCUUACCAAGGCAACGAUGCAUAGCCGACGUGAGAGAGGGAUCGGCCACACUGGAAGGGGGCCACGGUCCAGACUCCUACGGGAGGCAGCAGUAGGGAAUCUGCCGCAAUGGGCGAAAGUCUGACGGAGCAGCGCCGAGUGAGUGAUGAAGGUCUUCGGAUCGUAAAGCUCUGUUAUUAGGGAAGAACAUAUGUGUAAGUAACUGUGCACAUCUUGACGGUACCUAGUCAGAAAGCCACGGCUAACUACGUG